RNAcentral lists this ribosomal RNA (425 nucleotides) under uncultured bacterium. RNAcentral describes it as "partial 16S ribosomal RNA". It matches the Rfam family "Bacterial small subunit ribosomal RNA", at positions 354 to 796 of the family's 1533-position model. The record is from RNAcentral.
GUGGGGAAUAUUGGACAAUGGGCGCAAGCCUGAUCUAGCCAUGCCGCGUGAGUGAUGAAGGCCUUCGGGUUGUAAAGCUCUUUAGCCGAUGAUUAUAAUGACUGUAGUCGGAAAAUAAGCCCCGGCUAACUUCGUGCCAGCAGCCGCGGUAAUACGAAGGGGGCGAGCGUUAUUCGGAAUCACUGGGCGUAAAGCGUGCGUAGGCGGCUUUGCAAGUUGGGAGUGAAAGCCCAGGGCUCAACCCUGGAAUUGCUCUCAAAACUGCAAGGCUCGAAUUCGGGAGAGGAUAGCGGAAUUGUCAGUGUAGCAGUGAAAUGCGUAGAUAUUGACAGGAACACCAGUGGCGUAAGCGGCUAUCUGGACCGAUAUUGACGCUGAGGCACGAAAGCGUGGGGAUCAAACAGGAUUAGAUACCCGGGUAGUCC